Long non-coding RNA from Homo sapiens (human), 791 nucleotides. The record is from Ensembl. Lineage: Eukaryota; Metazoa; Chordata; Mammalia; Primates; Hominidae.
UGGCUAAUACUGCAGUUUGGGAUCCACAGCCUACAAAACCCCACAGCUCCUAAGAAUUCUCUCACCUGCCUUCUGCCCUUAAGCUCCGGUAGAUUGCAAAUAACCUGCUUUCUUUCUGUUCCCGAGCUGCGUUCGGACCCGUCGGAUCGUAAAUCCCACGUAAGGUCGGAAGAUUUGAACUUUCUACUUGGACACCUAACACCCACAGUCCUCCAGCUGCGUUCGGACCCGUCUGAUCGUAAAUCCCAUGUAAGGUACCUGCCGUCGGAAGAUUUGAACGUUCUACUUGGACACCUAAAACCCACAGUCCUCCAGGUACCUGCCGUCGGAAGAUUUGAGCUUUCUUCUUGAACACCUCAUACCCACAGUCCUCCAGGCGCCAGUGGGAUCAAGAGAGGGCAACAUUGCAACUCUCCAUGCUCCUGCAAUAUCCAUGGCUAUUCUGUAGACAGAAAGACAACAGGUACAAAGCCCUAAGGAUUAUAAAGGUAUGCUGCUUACCAUCAUCUUAGUGACCAAGGCAGCGAAGCUGUUUCUGUACCUUGGAACAGUCUUCCCUGACAAGCCAGAGAACAGUGAUAAAGCCACCAGCCUUGGGAUCAGGACUGAAAAGGCAAGAGUGAUGGAGAUUUCUCCUGCGCUAAGCCAAGAGAAGGUUUCAGCACUUCAGACAGCUCCCACCGAAGUAGCCGCGCUCCCAGCUGCUUGCAGAUGUUGAAAAGGAAAGCCUCGGUUUGUCUUGAGGUUGUCAGCAGGUGCAAGACACGUAAUAAAAUGCAAUGUGUUCCUAA